UACAGGGGGUGCAAACGUUGCUCGGAAUCAUUGGGCGUAAAGCGCACGUAGGCGGUUCGUUAUGUCGGAUGUGAAAGCCCUUGGCUUAACCGAGGAAGUGCAUCCGAAACUGGCGAGCUAGAGUACGAAAGAGGAUCGCGGAAUUCCCGGUGUAGAGGUGAAAUUCGUAGAUAUCGGGAGGAACACCAGUGGCGAAAGCGGCUACCUGGCCCAUUCUUGACGCUGAGGCGCGAAAGCUAGGGGAGCAAACGGG
RNAcentral lists this ribosomal RNA (253 nucleotides) under uncultured bacterium. RNAcentral's name for it is "partial 16S ribosomal RNA". It matches the Rfam family "Bacterial small subunit ribosomal RNA", at positions 524 to 776 of the family's 1533-position model. The record is from RNAcentral.